RNAcentral lists this ribosomal RNA (406 nucleotides) under uncultured bacterium. Its description in RNAcentral is "partial 16S ribosomal RNA". It matches the Rfam family "Bacterial small subunit ribosomal RNA", at positions 29 to 526 of the family's 1533-position model. The record is from RNAcentral.
AUUGAACGCUGGCGGCAUGCCUAACACAUGCAAGUCGAACGAGUGGCGGACGGGUGAGUAAUGUCGGGACAACUGCCUGAUGGAGGGGGAUAACUACUGGAAACGGUAGCUAAUACCGCAUACCAUCGGAUGUGCCCAGGUGGGAGUAGCUAGUAGGUGGGGUAACGGCUCACCUAGGCGACGAUCCCUAGCUGGGCUGAGAGGGUGACCGGCCACACUGGAACUGAGACACGGCCCAGACUCCUACGGGAGGCAGCAGUGGGGAAUAUUGGACAAUGGGCGAAAGCCUGAUGCAGCCAUGCCGCGUGUAUGAAGAAGGCCUUCGGGUUGUAAAGCACUUUCAGCGAGGAGGCGUUACUCGCAGAAGAAGCACCGGCUAACUCCGUGCCAGCAGCCGCGGUAAUAC